CUUUCAACUUGAUAUGGGAAGGUGGAAAACUGUCAUUUUCACGUGUUUUCAAAAUUAUAUUACUUCACAAUAAUCAAGGAUGUAAGUUAAAUAUAAACAUUAAUGAAUUGCCAAAAAACAACCUCGCAUUAUAUGUUAUUUGUUGUAAAUUGUAUUUUGAAAUAUGUUGAUGUAUAAAUUGUUAGAAUUCCAAAUAAAUUUUCAAAAAAUCAUAAAAAGAAUUUAGUAAAGAUAAGUAGUUCCAUAUGAUAUGAAGCCUUUAAUAUUUGAUUUUACUAACUUAAAUAAAAAGCAAUUGAAAAUGUAAGCUCUUUACAUUUAAUAAAGCUCUAUCAAGGAUCAUCAAGCAGCUAACAACACUGAAUCAUAAACUUGUAGGGUGAGAAACACUGAAGUGGGUCUCAUUGGGGUCUAAGUGUGGAUUGCUGAUUUUUGUAAGCAUGUAACGUGAAAGUCAAACUAUUGUGCCAUGAUAAUGGGAAAUGAAGUCUAUCGCGAUACAGGAAAUUAUGAAAAAAAGAGAAUUGUUUACAAACAAAGGACAGUAAGCAGGAUACUGGAAUCUGACAAAACAGUUAGCAGGAUCCGGGAUCAGAACACCCCAAUGAGACUCCCACUGAAGCAUGUACUUGUAAGGUUAAAACACUUAAGCAUGCAGAUUUGUUAAGUAAGUGACAAAGCACAAAUAAGCAGAAGCUCUCUAAAUUAUCAAAAUAAAAAGCCAAGCUGAAAACAAAAGCAUGGAACUAAAUGCAAUUGUGUAGCAGAAGUAAACUGGUUUUACAUGCAUAUAACAUUAUCAUGAGUUGCCAAACAGGGGUUCAAAUUAACAUUUGGUACUGGAAGGUCCAGGACCUUUGACACUCAAAACUGAAAGGUCCACAACCUAAAUUGCAGGUCUCUACUUUUACUUGAAAUAUUUUAUAACACAGUAAGAUACAAAAUUAUUGUGCCUUUGGUGUUAGGUUAUCUUGUUACAUUGUCAGUGUCACUGUUGUAUAAUAUGUUCAAUAAACUAAUAAAUAUAAUUGUCUUGUAUAUUAUGAAUUCAUAUUAUCUUUAUUUUUUUUUAUUUGGUAGGGUGUCACUGUUGGUAGGUGUGUUGUAACCAAGAUUAGUAAUUAAUUACUAAUUAUAUCAUUACCUCAGGGCUCACACUACUUCAACUCGAUUUUAAAAGUCACUAGAGCUUGUUACUUUGUUACAUUGUAUCAUAUCAUUACCUCAGGGCUCACACUACUUCAACUCGAUUUUAAAAGUCCACUAGAGCUUGUUACUUUGUUACAUUGUAUCAUAUCUAGUUGUACUAUUUUUAUAAUAAAGUACGAAACUUCCAGCUAUUUACAGGCCCCUAAAAAUUGAGGAGAAAUUACCCCUUGGAAUUGCAUAAUUUGUUUACACUUUAAAAACAUCUGCAUGUCAUAUCCCACAUGUAUUAAUGAUAAAAGAAAAAUGCUGUCACAUUGUAUUGGAUGUUGACAUGGAAAUUUGUCAACUAAAAAACUUAUUAAGUAAUUUUGAGUUCAACCUAAAAUAUUUUCUGGUCUUUCUUUCUUUUCCAUAUAUCUUUUGGUUUUCAAUUCUAGUGAUUAUAUUUCAUAAUCUUAGAUGUAUUUUGUCACAACUUCAAGCCUGACAUUAAUUUUUUUAUUGUAUUUGAUCGGCAAACCCGGAAUUACCCUUAUCCGUCCCGGAAACUGAUCCGGUAUUGUAAUUAUCUUCAUUUCCGGUUUAUAUAUGGCAUCCAUUGUUUUUCUAUGUUGAUGUUGUCAGUCAGAUACGAUUUCACUCGGAUUUACAAAUUACUUUUUAACGAUUUUCGGUAUAAAAUUAGCGGUUGGAUAAAAUGAAUAUUGCUGUCAUGAAUAAUAAAGAUGAGAAUUUAUUUUGAGAUCGUUUAUUUGGAAAUUUUGAUAAAAAGGUCUGCGAAGUUAUUUUUUAUUUUCUUUCAAAUCGAAGGUCCGUCGGGCGUAGCUAGUAACCAAAACGAAGGUCCGCUUGCAAAAGUGGAAGGUCGCGGACCUCGGACCACCGCUAAUUUGAACCCCUGCCAAACCAAGAAUUUGUCAAGUUCUAGAAUAGAUUGAAAGAUGAUUGCUUACACAGCUUAUCUGGAAGCUCAUUCCAAAGUUUACCACCUGCAUGCUUUAAAGAUUUUUAGCCAUAUGCAGUUGUUCUUACAUGGAUAGGCUGCCUUAUUUUGGUAUCUGACAGAGUAGGUGUUUUUCUUUCAGUGCGAUUAAGUCAUGAAUAUAAAGAUGUGCUAUUGUGUACAAUUAGUUACACUAUCAAUAUAUAUAAAGCCUCGGUCACACCUUACCGGAUAGCUCGAACGGGCGCUUAACGGAUAACUUUUUUAUGCCCCACCUUCGAUUGUAGAGGGGCAUUAUGUUUUCUGGUCUGUGCCUCCGUCCUUCCGUCCGUUCGUUCAGGUUAAAGUUUUUGGUCAAGGUAGUUUUUGAUGAAGUUGAAGUCCAAUCAACUUCAAACUUAGUACACAUGUUCCCUAUGAUAUGAUCUUUCUAAUUUAAUUGCCAAAUUAGAGUUUUGACCCCAAUUUCACGGUCUACUGAACAUAGAAAAUGAUAAUGCGAGUGAGGCAUCUGUGUACUAUGGACACAUUCUUGUUUCAAUCCGUUUUCAUGUCCGUUCUUAUCCAUUAGACGUCCGUCCAUAUCCGUUGCAUGUCCGUUAAGCGUACGUUUUAUCGGUCGACGUCCGUUCUGUCUGGUGGAAAAUUUUGAGCAUGUUCAAAACUUUGAACGGACGUCCAACCGAUAAAAUGUCCGUUGAAUGUCCGUUAGGCGUCUGUUUUGUACGGUACUCGUUCGUUUUGUUUCCGUUUUGUAUCCGUUAUGUGUCCGUUAUAUAUGGAGGUUGGAAGAUAAAUUCACCAACAUACUUCUACCGGACGUUUAACAGAUAAAACGGAUGAGAAACAGACUUCUACGGAGGUAUAACAGAUAAAACGGGAUGAUGAAUGGAUCUGAAAGGGAUAAAUGCCAAUUGAAAAUUUCGCGUCAGAAAUGCCAAUUAUUGGUAUGUCAGAUUUCUUAAGGUUCAUGAAUUCUUAUUAUUCAUUAUCGAUCUUAGAGUAUACAUUGUAGGCACAUUCACAAUCAAGCAGUACUUUUUCAGGCCAGACACUUUGGUGGGAUUUUGAAGAAAAAACCAAAACCAGUUACACAGAAACAUUUUGAAUAUUUAUGCGAUUUACAUGUAUUAUUAUUGUCGCUUUUGAUUUUUCCGUAUAUCUUGUUCAUCUGUUUUAUCCGGUACGCUUCCGUUAGGUGUCCGUUUUAGGCAGUACUGGUCCGUUGGAUGUACGUUCGACAUCCGUUCUGUCAAAUAUGGUGUCCGUUUCUCGUACGUUGAUAUCCGGUGUGUGUCCGUUAUGCAUCUGUUACACGUCCAUUUAAUUCGGUCAGUACAUCCAUGGACUCCCAACGGAUAACAAUUUUGUCAACACAACUUUUUUUUCAUCGGUUAGGCGUCCGUUCAUGCUAUCCCGGUAAGGUGUGACCGAGGCUUAACUAUUCGAACUUUUGAUUCAGGAUUUCUGUAAGAGCAUUACAAUUCUCUAAAAAGUGAUAAUCUUUUUAAUUAUGCAGGUCAAGUCACAAUACAGAUCACAUAGACAGGUUACAGGGAGAUGUCAACGAGGUAACACAUCUUUUGAAGGACAAUGUUGAAAAAGUUCUGGAACGUGGAGAGAAAAUUGAAGAUUUGCAGAAUCGUUCAGGUAAAUAAAACAAUGUCAAUGUACUUAAUGUAGAUGUGGCAACAUUCAGUUAAAUAACUAAAUAACCACAAACAAGUGUUUUAAAAUAUUUUUUGUGUAUAUGUUACGUAUACAAUGUUAGCUCAUAAAUAUGAAAAAGAAGAUGUGGUUUUAUUGCCAAUGAGACAACUGUCCACAAGAGACCAAAAUGACACAGCAAUUAACAACUGUCGGUCACCGUACGGCCUUCUUUAAGUCAGAUGUUUUUCUUAAGUACAUUGUCUUUUAAAAGGCUUGUAACCUUUUAUAUUCUGCCAAUAUAAAAAUAUGAAGAUAAGAUAUGAUUGCUAGUGAAACUACUACAAAAAAUGUAUCUACUAGAAACCAGUGAACAAGGACUUUAACAUCUAUAGGCUACUCAACAGCUCACAAUAAUUUACAAAACUCAUGAAUAAUAAGAUAUAAAAGACCCCAGGGUUACCAAAAAUGAAAUGAUACAAAAAUAAAAAACCAACAGCCUGAAAAAGACUAAAAUAUAGGCAUAUAGAAUGUGUUGGAUUAAAAAUGAUUCAGAGUCCUCAACCUUCCCCAAUUCUUGGACAGUGAUUUGAUAGUAGAACAUACAUGUUGGAACGUAAUUCUAAAAUCAGCUGGAAUAGCUUUAUGCAUCAGAUUUGCACAAAGCCACAACAAAAAACCCAAAAUACAGAACUAAGAUGACACUCAAAGAAAGCCAAUUUAAUAACUAAUGAAAAACAUAUAUUUUCUUGGUUUGCUACAAAUUGAAAUAUGCAUGUAAUUUUUACAUUACAGAGGACUUAACUGCUAGUUCCAUUCAGUUUAAGUCUCGAUCACGAGACCUACGAAGGAAGAUGUGCUGUAAGAAUUUUAAAAUGACCUGUAUAUUGAUAAUAGUGAUAACUGUUGUUAUAGCAAUAAUAAUUCUUGUCAUUUUAUGUAAGUAUUUGUAUUUUACUGUUGAAUUCUUUUCCAAGAUGAAGUGUCAGUUUGAAAGUUUAUGUACUUAUGAACACACAAUCCCUCACCACAAACGUCUUGACAUUUUUUGGAAAACAAUAGACUAUUUUCAUAUUUCUGAAUUUUGACUCUGGAUUAUAUAAUUUUUGGACAGAUUAAAUUUUCUGUGGUAUCAUAUUCUGGUACCAAGUCAAGUAAGAGCAACCAGAAUAAGUAAAAUCAUAUAAUUGGUUUAUAUUGAGAGAAAAAAAAAUUAAAAUCCAGACUCAAAAGUCGGUAACAUGAAACCAGUUUUUUGUUUACACUGGGUAUUCUGUUCUAUAACACAGAGUAAUUGUAAUUCUUAGGAGCAAUCAAUGAAAAGUUUGUAUAAAGAAUGUAUGCUCCAUGGGAAUCACAAUACUACCUAACCAUUGUUACAAACAUUUUAUUAAUUGCUCUUCUCUAUUCUGAUCCCAAUCUGAUUGGAAUUACCCGGUGUGUUGAUACAGUAUAAUCUGUAUUGCAACAUUUUUUUCCAAUGUAUCUUUUUUUUGUAAGGAAACAAAUUUGAAAGUUAACUAGAUGUAAUAUCAGUUAUAUUACAAAUCAAACUGGCCCGUCAUAGCUUGCUGUUCAGUGUGAGCCAAGGCUCUGUGUUGAAGACCUAUAAUGAUUUAUUUUUACAAAUUGUGACUUGGAUGGAGAGUUGUUUCAUUUGCACUCAUACCAAAUCUUCUUAUAUCUGUUAGCUGUAUAAUAUUUGAAGUCACAUGUAUGUACUAAGACAGCAAAAUCUAAAAUUUUAAUUUAUUAUGCUUAAAAUAACAUACAUGAGGCACAUUCAUAAAUUGGCUUAGGGUGACAUAGCUUGAACUCAACAAAUGAUAAUAAUGAAGGGAUGGUUUUGUUUAUAAGAUUAUAAGAAGUUAUGAUUAUUAUAACAAAUGAAAGAAACAAAACUGAUAAUAUUAUAGAAAAUGUUAAAACUUCUGACAAAUCAAAAAAGUAUCUGAUUAUGUUUACCUUUCUUAGUGAAACAAAUAGAAUUUCUAUGAUAUCUUAAAACAUUUUUCCAUAAUCAGCUUAGGGCUAUUCCAGAAAAAAAUGUAUGGGGGGGGGGGGGGGUUGGAAGGCACAUUGUAUUGAUAAUAUAUGGGUGAUGGGUAUCGGAGCAACUUUUCACACUAUAAUGCACUAUAAUUCUCAAUUACAAUUGUCUGGGUGCGGGUGCUGACAAAAACUGCCUUCCAACCCCCCCAUACAUUUUUUUCUGGAAUAGCCCUUAACAAUAUAUUUUAAAAGUUGACUUUGAAGUGAAAAAUCAUCAUCCUUUUCAAAGUCUAAAAGUCUGACAGUAAAUUUACUCUUUGAUCUUUUUAUUGUAGUCACAGUUAAACCAUGGGAUAAAGACUCAGGCAGUGGGCAUCAUAAAAAUGAAACGUACAUAAUGUCAACCUGAUCAUUACCACAUGCUCUUAGAGAAUAUAUAUGUAUAUACUGUGAGAUAAAGAUUUUAUGAACAAAUUUAUCAGCAUGUAACACACUUAUACAUGCUUUAUAAGCUUUUAAAUUAGUAUCCUCUAAUAAUUACAUUAGAUGAAUGUUUCAUUAUAAUAGGUUAUUCUUAUUGGCUACACUGCAAUCUCGCGUUAUUCUUAAUCUAUUUCAUUACACAAUAAAAUGUAUCCUUCAUGAUGACAUGAGGUCCCUAAAUAACUUGCACAGGUAAAUUAAAUAAAAACUUGAUUAAAUCGUGUUUUCAUGAACCUAGCUAAAAAAUGUAAUUAUAAGUAUUGAAUGCUUCUUUUUGUAACUGCAUAGGGUUGUAAAAGGGUUGACCAUGUGCACAUUUUUGAAUGGCGCUUCUUGGCUUCAUACAAAAUGUACUUCAAUCAACGCUUUUGCACCCCAUUGAAGUUACAAAAAGAAGCAUUCAAUACUUUUAAAAUAAUAAAGUGUAUUUUCAGAAACAAAACAUAAAUAUGAUACCAGAAAUCCAUAAUAAAUUUAUUUUGUUUGUAUGUCUUGAUAAUAUAUGUCAUAAUAACUCAGACUGAGUCGAGUAUUGUAAUAUUUAAUUGUAUGUCUUGAUAAUAUAUGUCAUAGUAAUUCAGACUGAGUGGAGUAUUGUAAUAUUUAAUUGUAAAUAUGUUGUGUGAAAGAGAGAGAAUAGUUUUUUCUUCUUAUGACCCUUGAUAUGUUUAAUACAUUUUAAUCAUAUAGAUUUUUACUGAUAGGUGUCCAUGACUCUGAAGCCUUAUUGGCAUCAAGAUUCUAUGUUAGAACUGCGACAAAAAUAUAAUUCCCCAGACUCUUUGUGAAAACCUUGAGAUAUUCUAUUUAUGAAAUGUUCAGUUAUAUUUAUUUGACCUGCUAACUUCAUUGUUUUUUUACUGUUACCUUGUAUAUUUAUACUGCAAUUUAUUUAGAAUACAUAGUAUUUUUGAUGUGAUCUUAAGAAUAUCUAUCCAAUACAGUUUAAUACUUACAAAUAUAGUCCCACCUUUUGUUAACUUGUUCUUGAUUAUAAAAUAAAUAUUAUUUUUAUAAUGAGGAAAAUGACUUUAGUAAAUGUUAUUUUUUGUCAUGGUUAUCAUUCUCACUACCUGACUAAGCUGUAGGCAAUCAAGCAUGUCAUGGUUCACAUUCUCACUUCCUAACUAAGCUGUAGGCAAUCAAGCAUGAAAUCAAUCAAAUCAAAUCAAUCAUAUAUAACUGCAAUAUCUUUUUUAUUUUAUUUGAAUUUUAAAUGUUUUUAUUUGCCAUUCCUUUAAUGUAUAAAUUGUCUUACUGGUUUCUACUUUUUGAAAAAUGGCCAUCUGCCUGAUGUUUUAUAAACACCGCUUACUUAUGUCAAUGUAACACUUACAGCAAAAGGCCUUGAGUAUAUAGGUAAAAGGAAUAUCUUUGGUUAGCUUUCUUGCCAGCUGAACAGUGAAAUCAUUAUAAGGUAAGGUAAACUAACCUCCUUUAAGAGUAGACUAGUCCGACAGAUAACCAAUCUAUCUGUCUGUAGGACUAGACUACUCAGGAAGGAGGGUAUUAUUAUUAUUAUACCUACCAAAUAACGACUUCCAAGGUUCAGCUAGCAAGCUAGCUAACCAAAGAUAAUACCUUUACCUACACACUAAAUGCAUUCUGCUGUAAACAAAUUAAAAUCUCAUUUUGUAAUUUUAUUGAUUCUAUUACUAUUCAACUUCUGUGAUAAUGUGCAAUAAGUAUAUGUAUAUUUUUGUUUAUUUAUGUUUAACAUAACCCUGGUAUUUUGUUAUUGUGAGUUUUUGUCAAAGACUUAUGAAUUAAUGGUCCUUGAUGAACUUUGCAUAUAAUGGAUGUCAAAAGAGGCUAUCAGUGUGUUUUAUAUUUGAGGUAGCAUAGCAAAUUCUGUUUUAAAGAUAUAUUCAAUAAAUAUUAUGAGAGAAAACUGGUGUAAAUAUUGCUUAUAGAUUAAAAAAAAUAAUGUUUGGGUUUUAGAACUGAAAAGAUUAAACAAAACCUCAAAAUGUGUUGUGUAAUAUUAAUUAUCAAACCCGUCACCAUUGCUUAAAAUGGACUUAAAUUUUCCAUUGAAGAGCAUGUUUUUACAAUAUAGAGUGGGGUGCUCAUAUUCACCGGGGACACAAUUUCACCGUUUUAUGAUUUUGAGGUGUAAAAUCUUCAAAGGAUGGCUGAAAUGGAAGAAAUAUGCUGGUAAACUAUAUUUUUAUAACAAAUAUGAUAAUCUAUAAACUUAAACAAAAUUUCGGCGCAGACGAAAAAAACGGACUAGGAUUUUCGGUCAAUUUCCUAAAUGAAAAACAUGAUUUCAAAGAAAUAUUUGUAAGUAAUUCUUUGACUGAUUACCCUAUAAAUUUCAGUUCUUUACACCUUUGAAAUGUCUAUAAUGAAAUUGAUUUAUAUUGUUUAAUGCUACAGUUUACUGGUUUUAAAUAGAUGUGUAAAAACAGUGAAUAUGUGUCCCCCUUUGACAAAACAUCAUAAAAUUUCAUAUAGCCUUUAAUUUAACUUUUCAGAUGAUUUUGUUUUAAAGAAACACUAUUUCAAGCUAAGAAGAUUUUGCUUUUGAUAUUAUGUUCUUAUAAAAUUAUCAGUAUACUUCAAAAACAUGAGGACCUAAACAUAAAGUGCAGAAAACAUGGAAACUUGUGGCGAAAAUGAGCACCCCACUCUACUGAAAACUUUGAAAAUUGUUUGAUGUUUUUAUUUGUUUUAGGGAAAAUGGCAAUGGAAUUGAUAUUACAAAUAUUUAAACGCACAUUUCAAUUUUGAUAUUAAAAGCAUUAUUUUUGUGUUUUCAGUUUCUCAAUAAUUUGUCUUGCAUUUUUGUACACUGUCCAACAAUCACGAUGAUAAUUGCAGGUAAAAUUUGUGAACCUACAGUCAGUAGAAUAUAUUAAAUAAGUAAAGAUUUCAGCCUGAGUCAUGAAUUUCUUUGAAAAAUUGUUUAUAAAAUUAAAGAGCUAAAAUGUGCUUGUUAAUACAUAUACAUGUAUUAGUAUUUUAGUGGUCAGUUUUAUUCGCUUGUUGAUAUUCAUAUUUGAGUGGUCAGUUUUAUUUAUGACAUUAAUGUUUAACAGAUUUGUAUGCUAUGCCAUG
RNAcentral lists this long non-coding RNA (9277 nucleotides) under Mytilus galloprovincialis (Mediterranean mussel). The record is from RNAcentral. Lineage: Eukaryota; Metazoa; Mollusca; Bivalvia; Mytilida; Mytilidae.